Molecule: ribosomal RNA, 492 nt
Filed under: uncultured bacterium
Lineage: Bacteria
Description: bacterial SSU rRNA
Rfam family: Bacterial small subunit ribosomal RNA
Source: RNAcentral
AAUCAACGCUGGCGGCGUGCCUCAGACAUGCAAGUCGAACGAUUAAAGCUCUCUUCGGAGAGUGCAUAGAGUGGCGCACGGGUGAGUAACACGUAAGUAAUCUACCCUCGAGUGGGGAAUAACGUCCGGAAACGGACGCUAAUACCGCAUAAUGCAGCGGCACCGCAAGGUGACAGUUGUUAAAGAUUUAUCGCUUGAGGAGGAGCUUGCGGCAGAUUAGCUAGUUGGUAAGGUAAUGGCUUACCAAGGCUACGAUCUGUAACCGGUCUUAGAGGACGGUCGGUCACACUGACACUGAAUAACGGGUCAGACUCCUACGGGAGGCAGCAGUCGGGAAUUUUGGGCAAUGGGCGAAAGCCUGACCCAGCAACGCCGCGUGAAGGAUGAAGUAUUUCGGUAUGUAAACUUCGAAAGAAUAGGAAGAAUAAAUGACGGUACUAUUUAUAAGGUCCGGCUAACUACGUGCCAGCAGCCGCGGUAAGGUGACGCUCU